This 894-nucleotide ribosomal RNA is filed under the name Triticum aestivum (bread wheat). Its description in RNAcentral is "partial small subunit ribosomal RNA". The record is from RNAcentral. Lineage: Eukaryota; Viridiplantae; Streptophyta; Magnoliopsida; Poales; Poaceae.
CCCUAUGGGAUCCCUGUGUUCAGCAUUCCUCUCCAUUGUGAUGGCCUGAUAUUGAUCCCUUGCAUAAUGGGGAAAAUUUUCAUCUGCAACCCGGCCACUAGAGAGUUUGUUGAGUUGCCACCUGGAAGCCCAAGUGUUCUCUUUGAGCACAGGGUCGCCUUUGGCUUUGAUCCUUGGAGUGGUACCUACAAGGUGGCGAGGCACUUCAUCCGCUCGUACAGAGAUACUCUGCAAAUAGAUGGGGAAGGAGGCACCACUAGAGAAUACAGCAGUGGACAUGAGAUCUUAACAUUCGGUGGUGACAGCAAAGAAGAAGCUUGGGUAUGGAAGGCCACUGUGGAUCCACCAUACCCUAUCAAGGCCAGGACUCCAAUUUGUCUCCCAGGGGUCUUCUUUUGGAGUGCUCUCAAGUCCAUGGCACAUGGCAAGGUUAUCUCGAAUGUCAUCCUUCGAUUUAGUUUACUUGAUGAAACAUUUACGGUGCACCCUAACCCUCCAUGUAGUGAUCAUCUAGGCAAGAAUGAUGCACUAUCUGCACUAGGUGGAAAGUUAUGCUAUAUCCACUCUCCCACUCCGUGGGAGAUUGCCAUUUGGUUAGCGGAAGAUGGGCCAAAUCUGACUUGGUCACUAUGCCGCCGUGUCAGUCUGCCGAUACCAAGAAAUCUUCUUGCCUUUGCAUGUGCGUCAACUGACCCGGACAAGAUAUUCCUCUCCAUUGAUGCGCGCUACCUUCUCAGGUGUGACCUCCAUAAUGAAUCUCUUGAAGAAAUAAUCAACAUGCGUGACAUGUUGUAUGAUCUCCAGAACGGCAGAAAAUUCACCAUUGGUUCACUCUUUGUUGCCCACUAUAUGGUGCCAUUUGUGGAAUCACUGUUGCGCAUCAGAUCUUCAUAG